GCGAAGCGAAGCAGUGAUGUGAAGCAAAUCGCACCAAAGCCAGUCCCAGUUCGGAUAAGAGGCUGAAACUCGCCUCUUUGAAGUCGGAAUCGCUAGUAAUCGCAGAUCAGCAUGUUGCGGUGAAUACGUUCCCGGGUCUUGUACACACCGCCCGUCAAACCAUGAGAGUCACCAACACCCGAAGUCCGCCUUGGCGGCCUAAGGUGGGGGAGAUGAUUGGGGUUAAGUCGUAACAAGGUAUC
Molecule: ribosomal RNA, 242 nt
Filed under: uncultured bacterium
Lineage: Bacteria
Description: partial 16S ribosomal RNA
Rfam family: Bacterial small subunit ribosomal RNA
Source: RNAcentral